GAUGAACGCUGGCGGCGUGCCUAAUACAUGCAAGUCGAGCGAACGGACGAGAAGCUUGCUUCUCUGAUGUUAGCGGCGGACGGGUGAGUAACACGUGGAUAACCUACCUAUAAGACUGGGAUAACUUCGGGAAACCGGAGCUAAUACCGGAUAAUAUUUUGAACCGCAUGGUUCAAAAGUGAAAGACGGUCUUGCUGUCACUUAUAGAUGGAUCCGCGCUGCAUUAGCUAGUUGGUAAGGUAACGGCUUACCAAGGCAACGAUGCAUAGCCGACCUGAGAGGGUGAUCGGCCACACUGGAACUGAGACACGGUCCAGACUCCUACGGGAGGCAGCAGUAGGGAAUCUUCCGCAAUGGGCGAAAGCCUGACGGAGCAACGCCGCGUGAGUGAUGAAGGUCUUCGGAUCGUAAAACUCUGUUAUUAGGGAAGAAAAUAUGUGUAAGUAACUGUGCACAUCUUGACGGUACCUAAUCAGAAAGCCACGGCUAACUACGGG
This 497-nucleotide ribosomal RNA is filed under the name uncultured bacterium. RNAcentral's name for it is "partial 16S ribosomal RNA". It matches the Rfam family "Bacterial small subunit ribosomal RNA", at positions 28 to 507 of the family's 1533-position model. The record is from RNAcentral.